RNAcentral lists this ribosomal RNA (253 nucleotides) under uncultured bacterium. Its description in RNAcentral is "partial 16S ribosomal RNA". It matches the Rfam family "Bacterial small subunit ribosomal RNA", at positions 524 to 776 of the family's 1533-position model. The record is from RNAcentral.
UACGUAGGGUGCAAGCGUUAAUCGGAAUUACUGGGCGUAAAGCGUGCGCAGGCGGUUAGGCAAGACAGAUGUGAAAUCCCCGGGCUCAACCUGGGAACUGCAUUUGUGACUGCAUGGCUGGAGUGCGGCAGAGGGGGAUGGAAUUCCGCGUGUAGCAGUGAAAUGCGUAGAUAUGCGGAGGAACACCGAUGGCGAAGGCAAUCCCCUGGGCCUGCACUGACGCUCAUGCACGAAAGCGUGGGGAGCAAACAGG